UUGGAAGUGCCCUUCUGGUACGAGGCCUGACCGGAGGCUUUUAAUCUGGUACCACGGGUAACCAGGAGCCCACGGAACUUGUUCCGUCCUGGUUAGUUGGUGCGGCCCUUCGGGGAGUAUCGUGGUGGUUGUGGUUUAACACCCAAAUGCGGGUAGAGCAUCGCUCGACGUGGAGUUGCGUCAUACAACCGGGUUCCGUGACCCAGAUUACGGAAGAGGCUUAGAUAGUCCUCGUGCCAAACCAAGGUAGAAGUCACAACCAAACAGUCGUGUCUUUAAUUGGUACCUGCGGAAUUGUUCCAAGGGGGCGGUGAUUGACGCUUGAAUUAAUCCUAUACUAGGAACCGUGAGAUUAAGCCAUCGCGGCAGGUGCUCACGUUAAGCCCACUGACUUUCAUGUCCCUAUCUACUAUCUAGCGAAACCACAGCCAAGGGAACGGGCUUGGAAUAAUUAGCGGGGAAAGAAGACCCUUUUGAGCUUGACUCUAAUCUGGCAGUGUAAGGAGACAUAAGAGGUGUAGAAUAAGUGGGAGAUAUUAGACUUCGGUUUGGUAUCGACAAUGAAAUACCACUACUCUUAUUGUUUCCUUACUUACUUGAUUAAAUGGAACGUGUAUCAUUUCCUAGCCAUUAUACGGAUAUAAUUAUUAUGUCUUAUGGUAUUGGGUUUUGAUGCAAGCUUCUUGAUCAAAGUAUCACGAGUUUGUUAUAUAAUCGCAAACAAAUUCUUUAAUGAGAGAAUGCAUUUAUGUAUUAUUGAUUUUAAAAUUUGGUAUAACUCCAAUUACUCGGGUAUGAUGCAAUUCGAGGACAUUGCCAGGUAUGGAGUUUGACUGGGGCGGUACAUCUCUCAAAUAAUAACGGAGGUGUCCCAAGGCCAGCUCAGUGCGGACAGAAACCACACAUAGAGCAAAAGGGCAAAUGCUGACUUGAUCUCGGUGUUCAGUACACACAGGGACAGCAAAAGCUCGGCCUAUCGAUCCUUUUGGUUUAAAGAGUUUUUUGCAAAAGGUGUCAGAAAAGUUUCUAUAGGGGUAACUGGAUUUGUGGCGGUUAACCUUUUCU
Molecule: non-coding RNA, 1065 nt
Filed under: Drosophila virilis
Lineage: Eukaryota; Metazoa; Arthropoda; Insecta; Diptera; Drosophilidae
Description: Eukaryotic large subunit ribosomal RNA
Rfam family: Eukaryotic large subunit ribosomal RNA
Source: Rfam by way of RNAcentral